AAUGAAAUGGCCGAAAUUUGAAGGCAUUAGACUGUAAAUCUAAGUGUGAAUUAUUUAUAUUCUUUCAUUA
Molecule: transfer RNA, 70 nt
Filed under: Dardanus aspersus
Lineage: Eukaryota; Metazoa; Arthropoda; Malacostraca; Decapoda; Diogenidae
Description: tRNA-Tyr
Rfam family: tRNA
About the family: Transfer RNA (tRNA) molecules are approximately 80 nucleotides in length.
Source: RNAcentral